Molecule: long non-coding RNA, 608 nt
Filed under: Androctonus crassicauda
Lineage: Eukaryota; Metazoa; Arthropoda; Arachnida; Scorpiones; Buthidae
Source: RNAcentral
UAAUGAUAAAAAUAAUAAAGAGCAUAAUAAAAAUAAAAAAUAGGACAGGUCAGAGUCAACCUCUUCACAACUAUAGUUACCACCAACUAAGUACACAGUGAAAAAUCAUUUUUUCACUAUGUACCUGAUAGAACUUAAACAUUGAGAUGAAAAUAUCACUGAUUUCAAAAUUUCCCUUAAAAAUUUAAUAACAUGUUCAGUUGUCGUUGCAAUGAUAAAUAUCUAUUCAACUCUAAGAAAUUGUGUAAUCUAUAACAUCUUAUUCCAUAACAUCAGUCUCAACACAAAAGAAAACUACAUCAGCUUCAUCAGAAGAAACUUAUCCCAAAGACUAAAAGAAUAUAAAGGUAGCAUAAAGAAAGGUUCAACAGAUAUAGCAGUCUCAAUAAGGACUUUAGAAUGUAAUAUUAAAAAUCUGUUGGUGGGAAACCAAAAUGAUAUAGUAUGCCAAUCAUUGUGAAGAAGGUUACAUACCUGCAAAUUUAGCAUUGUGUAAAAGGAAGUUAUCAUUAACAUGCAAGAACUAGAAGUGAUUUCUUUUAUUGAGAGUAACUUUAUGCUCAUGUCAUGACUUUUCUUGUUUAUUUCUUUUUUAUUUUAAGUCUAAU